UUUUGGCUAUGGUUUUGGUGCACAUUUUAUAUGGUUUGGAGUUUAUAUGAAGGAGAUACAAGCACUCAAAGUUAAGGUAUUGAUUUGGGAGCUACUGUCACUCUUUUUGGCAUAACGCAUGCGUACGGAUAGCAAUUGAGGAUCGGCAAUUGCGACUAGAGGGAACACUUUUGGAGCUACACUGCUUGCUAGAUUCCAAGUUGAGAUAAAGGAGUUAUAGGAUUUUGAAGUCAGCACAUGCAAUCUAAGGGUAGUAAGUGACUCAAUUUACUAGUGGUUGUGUCUUCAUCUAUAUCUUGAGCAAUUUAAUAAGGUUUUGGCUCAAAAUUUUA
RNAcentral lists this long non-coding RNA (332 nucleotides) under Physcomitrium patens. RNAcentral's name for it is "long non-coding RNA (PPAT_LNC007565)". The record is from RNAcentral. Lineage: Eukaryota; Viridiplantae; Streptophyta; Bryopsida; Funariales; Funariaceae.